CUGAAACUUAGUUGGACUUGUAGACUUUUGUUUGAGGUGGUCUUUGCCUCUUGGAAGGAGCAUUGCCAGAUUGGAGACCUGGGAAAACCCAUCGCUCAGGCCAUUCAAGCAAGUCCUGGAUGGAAGACUCAAAGGACCCAACCUGUAGAAGUGGCUGCCUUUGUCUCAGAGGAGCUGCCGGUUCAGGAAGGCAUAGAUAUCGAAAAUAAGUUCAAUCUGCCUUUGUUCUUUUCCUACAUCAUGAUGCUAAUUCACUGAAGAGGCACGAGAUGGGGCAAGGAAGACAUUUUCAUUGUCAGCAGCAAACGGAGUGGCUCUACUGGAGAGGGAAAAAGAAGAGGGGAAGAGGCUGAGAAUUAUUCUGCUGAGAAAGAAUAUCCAUGCAGGUGGUGGUCGUGUGUGAAGGCGCACACUUCUUUCAGGGAAACACAAGUGGAGUUCUGGGAGUCCUUUCAACCCUCCCCCAGACGUUCACCACAGCCUGUAUGAAUCAUAUACACAUUGCAACCAUUCAGCUUCCUCUGUCCACAAGGUUAGGGUGACCAUCAGAAUCCAGGAUUAUCUCACAAGGAAGGAGAACGUGUGUGAAAACUACUGGUUAGGUUCGGUAGGUAUUCUAUAUAUCAUCUGAUUCUAACGGUUAAUUCUCUGAUAACGAGAAAAUUAUUUGACUCUAGGCUCUCAGGAUCAGAGGGUAGCAUGAGCUCGUCAGUUCCCUCCUUCCUCCCUCCUCUUACAUCACAUGGAACAUUGUCGUUCAUACCAUAGCAGAUGGAGUUCAUUUGGUACUUGGAAUGUCAAAGUAUUUGGAAGCAUUUUCAUUUGGUUCAGCAUUAUUCAGAAUUGAAUGAAAGAAUAUUUUAACAUAAUUUUUAUUGAUUCUUUGCACCCUAAUCUCACUCAU
Molecule: long non-coding RNA, 904 nt
Organism: Alexandromys fortis (reed vole)
Lineage: Eukaryota; Metazoa; Chordata; Mammalia; Rodentia; Cricetidae
Exons: 4
Source: RefSeq, a predicted model, not a curated record